Molecule: long non-coding RNA, 266 nt
Filed under: Citrus maxima (pomelo)
Lineage: Eukaryota; Viridiplantae; Streptophyta; Magnoliopsida; Sapindales; Rutaceae
Description: long non-coding RNA (CMAX_LNC004003)
Source: RNAcentral
UGAUUAUCUGUUGAUAGGGAGGGUGAGGCUCCUUCACCUUCAGUAUUACUGUUUUCUUCGGGAAAAAAAAUGCUUACAUACCUCUGUCGGGGAAACCUAGACACACACAGUAUACCUAACCUUCUAUCACAUGGUGCACAUAGGUCAUGGCCAUGGCCCUUCCUCAUUUGGAUCCUUCAAAUUCGGAAUCAUUAGGACAUCUUAACGUCAAGGUGACUUUAUUUUCUUGUUUGUAUUUUAUGAGAAUGACUGCAUCCCACUGUUAU